This 261-nucleotide ribosomal RNA is filed under the name uncultured bacterium. Its description in RNAcentral is "partial 16S ribosomal RNA". The record is from RNAcentral.
CUGCUGCCUUCCGUAGGAGUUUGGGCCGUGUCUCAGUCCCAAUGUGGCCGAUCAACCUCUCAGUUCGGCUACGCAUCAUUGCCUUGGUAAGCCUUUACCCCACCAACUAGCUAAUGCGCCGCGGGCCCAUCCAAAAGCGGUAGCAUAGCCACCUUUUACAUAGCUACCAUGCGGUAACUAUGGUUAUGCGGUAUUAGCACCUGUUUCCAAGUGUUAUCCCCCUCUUUUGGGCAGGUUGCCCACGUGUUACUCACCCGUUCG